CCUACGGGUGGCAGCAGUAGGGAAUCUUGGGCAAUGGAGGAAACUCUGACCCAGCAACGCCGCGUGAAGGAAGAAGGUUUUCGGAUUGUAAACUUCUGUCGCGAGGGAUGAAGAAUGACGGUACCUCGUAAUAAAGACCCUGCAAAAUACGUGCCAGCAGCCGCCGUAAUACGGAGGGGGCGAGCGUUGUCCGGAAUGACUGGGCGUAAAGGGAGUGUAGGCGGGAUAGUAAGUACUGUGUGAAAGCCCGCGGAUCAACCGCCGAAUUGCAUAGAAAACUGGUAAGCUGGAGUGCAGGAGAGGUAAGUGGAAUUCCCGGUGUAGCGGUGGAAUGCGUAGAUAUCGGGAGGAACACCAGAGGCGAAGGCGACUUACUGGACUGUAACUGACGCUGAGGCUCGAAAGCGUGGGGAGCAAACAGGAUUAGAUACCCUAGUAGUC
Molecule: ribosomal RNA, 441 nt
Filed under: uncultured bacterium
Lineage: Bacteria
Description: partial 16S ribosomal RNA
Rfam family: Bacterial small subunit ribosomal RNA
Source: RNAcentral